UACAGAGGUCCCCAAGCGUUGUUCGGAUUCACUGGGCGUAAAGGGUGCGUAGGCGGCCGGGUAAGUCUGGUGUGAAAGUUCGCAGCUCAACUGCGAAAAGUCAUUGGAUACUCUCCGGCUGGAGGAAUGGAGGGGGGACGUGGAAUACUUGGUGUAGCAGUGAAAUGCGUAGAUAUCUGGAGGAAUACCGAUGGCGAAGGCAGCCCCCUCGGCCUGAUACUGACACUGAGGUGCGAAAGCAUGGGGA
This 247-nucleotide ribosomal RNA is filed under the name uncultured bacterium. RNAcentral's name for it is "partial 16S ribosomal RNA". It matches the Rfam family "Bacterial small subunit ribosomal RNA", at positions 524 to 767 of the family's 1533-position model. The record is from RNAcentral.